This 253-nucleotide ribosomal RNA is filed under the name uncultured bacterium. RNAcentral describes it as "partial 16S ribosomal RNA". It matches the Rfam family "Bacterial small subunit ribosomal RNA", at positions 524 to 776 of the family's 1533-position model. The record is from RNAcentral.
UACGGGGGGGGUAAGCGUUGUUCGGAAUUACUGGGCGUAAAGGGUCUGUAGGUGGCUUGCUAAGUCAGACGUGAAAUCCCUCAGCUUAACUGGGGAACUGCGUCUGAGACUGGCGAGCUUGAGUGCAGGAGAGGAACGCGGAAUUCCAGGUGUAGCGGUGAAAUGCGUAGAUAUCUGGAGGAACACCGGUGGCGAAGGCGGCGUUCUGGACUGCAACUGACACUGAGGCACGAAAGCUAGGGGAGCAAACAGG